GGUAAGGGGGGGGAAUUGUCCAAGGUUUCCGUAGGUGAACCUGCGGAGAAAACAUUA
RNAcentral lists this ribosomal RNA (57 nucleotides) under Phytophthora palmivora. RNAcentral's name for it is "partial 18S ribosomal RNA". Lineage: Eukaryota; Oomycota; Peronosporomycetes; Peronosporales; Peronosporaceae. The record is from RNAcentral.